This 407-nucleotide ribosomal RNA is filed under the name uncultured bacterium. RNAcentral's name for it is "partial 16S ribosomal RNA". It matches the Rfam family "Bacterial small subunit ribosomal RNA", at positions 30 to 526 of the family's 1533-position model. The record is from RNAcentral.
AUUGAACGCUGGCGGCAGGCCUAACACAUGCAAGUCGAGCGGAGCGGCGGACGGGUGAGUAAUGCCUCGGAAUCUGCCUGGUAGUGGGGGAUCACGUCCGGAAACGGGCGCUAAUACCGCCUACUAUCAGAUCAGCCUAGGUCGGAUUAGCUAGUUGGUGGGGUAACGGCCUACAAAGGCGCCGAUCCGUACCUGGUCUGAGAGGAUGAUCAGUCACACUGGAACUGAGACACGGUCCAGACUCCUACGGGAGGCAGCAGGGGGGAAUAUUGGACAAUGGGCGAAAGCCGGAUCCAGCCAUGCCGCGUGUGUGAAGAAGGUCUUCGGAGUGUAAAGCACGUUAAGUAGGGAGGCGUUACCAACAGAAUAAGCACCGGCUAACUUCGUGCCAGCAGCCGCGGUAAUAC